ACACCAUGAUGGGGACAUCUCUUGAGUAACUAUUUGAAUCUUUCUCAUACAUCAUACAUGCUUUCAUCUUCAAGUUGAUGGAAGGAUGUGAUUUCAUUUAUCAACUU
Molecule: small nucleolar RNA, 107 nt
Rfam family: Plant small nucleolar RNA R71
About the family: R71 is a member of the C/D box family of snoRNAs containing the C (UGAUGA) and D (CUGA) box motifs. Multiple nearly identical copies of this snoRNA have been identified in Arabidopsis, and it is thought to function as a 2'-O-ribose methylation guide for 18S ribosomal RNA.
Source: Rfam